GAUGAACGCUGGCGGAGGGCAGAAUACAGGCAAGUCGAGCGAACGGACGAGAAGCUUGCUUCUCUGAUGUUAGCGGCGGACGGGUGAGUAACACGUGGAUAACCUACCUAUAAGACUGGGAUAACUUCGGGAAACCGUAGCUAAUACCGGAUAAUAUUUUGAACCGCAUGGUUCAAAAGUGAAAGACGGUCUUGCUGUCACUUAUAGAUGGAUCCGCGCUGCAUUAGCUAGUUGGUAAGGUAACGGCUUACCAAGGCAACGAUGCAUAGCCGACCUGAGAGGGUGAUCGGCCACACUGGAACUGAGACACGGUCCAGACUCCUACGGGAGGCAGCAGUAGGGAAUCUUCCGCAAUGGGCGAAAGCCUGACGGAGCAACGCCGCGUGAGUGAUGAAGGUCUUCGGAUCGUAAAACUCUGUUAUUAGGGAAGAACAUAUGUGUAAGUAACUGUGCACAUCUUGACGGUACCUAAUCAGAAAGCCACGGCUAACUACGUG
Molecule: ribosomal RNA, 497 nt
Filed under: uncultured bacterium
Lineage: Bacteria
Description: partial 16S ribosomal RNA
Rfam family: Bacterial small subunit ribosomal RNA
Source: RNAcentral